Molecule: ribosomal RNA, 772 nt
Filed under: uncultured bacterium
Lineage: Bacteria
Description: bacterial SSU rRNA
Rfam family: Bacterial small subunit ribosomal RNA
Source: RNAcentral
AGAGUUUGAUCCUGGCUCAGGACGAACGCUGGCGGCGUGCUUAAGACAUGCAAGUCGAACGGGGUCCAUCCUUCGGGAGAAGACCUAGUGGCGAACGGGUGAGUAACACGUGAGCAACCUGCCCCAAAGACAGGGAUAAGCGAGGGAAACUUCGUCUAAUACCUGAUGCCCUUACGGAAUCACAUGUUUCUGUAAGGAAAUGAUUUAUCGCUUUGGGAGGGGCUCGCGGCCUAUCAGCUUGUUGGUGGGGUAACGGCCUACCAAGGCGUCGACGGGUAGCUGGUCUGAGAGGAUGAUCAGCCACACUGGGACUGAGAUACGGCCCAGACUCCUACGGGAGGCAGCAGUUAGGAAUCUUGCGCAAUGGGCGAAAGCCUGACGCAGCAACGCCGCGUGGGGGAUGAAUGGUUUCGGCUUGUAAACCCCUUUCAGCAGGAACGAAAUUGACGGUACCUGCAGAAGAAGCUCCGGCCAACUACGUGCCAGCAGCCGCGGUAAUACGUAGGGAGCAAGCGUUGUCCGGAUUUAUUGGGCGUAAAGAGCUCGUAGGCGGCUUAGCAAGUCAGGUGUGAAAACUCCAGGCUCAACCUGGAGACGCCACUUGAUACUGCUAUGGCUUGAGUACGGUAGGGGAUCACGGAAUUCCUGGUGUAGCGGUGAAAUGCGCAGAUAUCAGGAGGAACACCGAUGGCGAAGGCAGUGAUCUGGGCCGAUACUGACGCUGAGGAGCGAAAGCGUGGGUAGCGAACAGGAUUAGAUACCCUAGUAGUCC